GGGGGGCAGCUCUCAUAAGGACACUGAUCAUUCAUGAUGGCCUGCCUUCACGAGACUCAGUCACCUCCCAAGGGCCCCCAGUUCCUAACAGCAUCACCUAUGGCGGUAUCUACUGACCUGGUUAUCGCUUCUUCCUUUAAGGAGUAUUAGAACACUGCUGGGGAUGGGCUGACAAACAUACCAGGGAUUUUACUUUGUGUCAGCCAAGAGGCUUUCCUUACCUCCUUGUCUUCAGUACUCUUGUGCACAAGCAUGCUUCUCAGAGAAGGUGGAUUCUACCUUGGAAGGAAAUGAGUCGUUUCCUCCCAUCAGGACAACUGCCACAGCAUGGUGUCAACUCACUCUUGCCUUUCGUAAAUUGAGUUUGUCAGUGCUCAGCGACACAGCUGAGUGAAAUGUUGUGUGAUGCGGGCUGUCUCCUGGGAGAGAGAAACUGGCAUAAACCACAUCCUAAUGGGAUCCAGAAACAAAGAAGCGUGAAUGAAGUGUUAAUUGCAUUCAUAAAGACAUUAACAAAGGAAUUAAAAUGGCAGAAGCUUCAGUCCCCCACUCAAGAUUCACAGAAAAAUAUGUUAUCCAAAGAAUGUUUCAACAAUAAUCAUCAAAGUUUAUUGCUUGCCCAUUGGGGAAAUAACUCUUGAUACAUAUUAACUUUUCAAAGAACAUUUUGGGUCCAUUAUUUUGAGUAUAUUAACUAACAGACAGUUUAUUCCACCCUACCUCCAGUUCUUUGCUUGCUUUUGUAUGAUUUAAGUUUCAAAAAAAUCCAGAGGCAUUUUCAGUGCUGCUUCAUUAACCAUAAGGAUGUCUGUUAACAGUUUGAACCUAAUCAAUCCUACAGUUCUUAUUAGAGCAAAAUGCUCAUUAUCUGGGAGAAUUUUUGCUUUUUGAAAUAAAAUUACAAGACUGGGGGUUUAUUUUACAGUCCCUCUUGAAUAUUCCUGAGAUGAUCUGCAAUGUGGGCAACCCGGGGCUCCCUCCCCAGCCCUGUGGCAGGGCCCCCCAGCUGCUGACAGCGGGGCUAAGCUGGCAAAAGGUCAGGAGGCUGCAUUUCACUGAAGAUGGAUCGCACAGAUGAAUAUUGCGCUUGCUUAAUGAAGUCAAGGCCACGGAUUUGGGGCCUUUUAUGGUUCUUCUUGUUUCACUCAAUUUCACCUUCAUAGACCACGCCACUAAUCCCAGCCAAUCAUUUUGUAGAUAUGUGCAACUGGUGACUAAGGGACUAGAUAAAAGUAAAUGAAUCUAAAAAACAGUGACCAGAAAUUCAGAAAUCUCUGUGCCUAUAACAAACUCAGAAUUAAAAAAAAAAAGCAUGCAGAGUGAGUGUUUCGUGAUCCUUGCAGAAACUCUGUGAGAUAUAUGGAGCCGACAUUCCUACCUUCAUUCUGCAGGUAAGAAAGCUAAAACUCAAAGACAUUAAGUAAAGUCUCAGGAUUAAAAUUCAGAUUUUUUUAAUCAUC
This is a long non-coding RNA of Homo sapiens (human), 1460 nucleotides long. Ensembl annotates it as long intergenic non-protein coding RNA 1649. Lineage: Eukaryota; Metazoa; Chordata; Mammalia; Primates; Hominidae. The record is from Ensembl.